This 76-nucleotide transfer RNA is filed under the name bacterium. RNAcentral describes it as "tRNA-Glu". It matches the Rfam family "tRNA". From Rfam's summary of the family: Transfer RNA (tRNA) molecules are approximately 80 nucleotides in length. Their secondary structure includes four short double-helical elements and three loops (D, anti-codon, and T loops). Further hydrogen bonds mediate the characteristic L-shaped molecular structure. tRNAs have two regions of fundamental functional importance: the anti-codon, which is responsible for specific mRNA codon recognition, and the 3' end, to which the tRNAs corresponding amino acid is attached (by aminoacyl-tRNA synthetases). tRNAs cope with the degeneracy of the genetic code in two manners: having more than one tRNA (with a specific anti-codon) for a particular amino acid; and 'wobble' base-pairing, i.e. permitting non-standard base-pairing at the 3rd anti-codon position. The record is from RNAcentral.
GCUCCGGUAGUCUAGUGGUUAGGACGCCUCUCUUUCACAGAGGAGAUCGCGGGUUCGAGUCCCGUCCGGAGUACCA